Molecule: long non-coding RNA, 4473 nt
Organism: Mercenaria mercenaria
Lineage: Eukaryota; Metazoa; Mollusca; Bivalvia; Venerida; Veneridae
Exons: 3
Source: RefSeq, a predicted model, not a curated record
CAUUAAGAAUUUUACAUUAAAACACUAAAUAUUUUUGCAAGCGAGAGUCAACAAGAUUCUGCUCGGAGGGUCGUUUCAGUGACUGAAUCGCCAAGCGAAUUGCCAAAAGACAACUCGGAAUCAAGAACAUUAUGCUCAAGAUAAAGUAUUUCAAUAUUAAAAGUGACCACAAGAAGAAGAACCAUGGACAGGCACUGGGAAUACAGCUUAAAGAAAGAAAACUUCUAGCUGUGAUCCAAAAAUAGAUGGACCACACACCGUCUUGAUUGAAUUUCAGUCUUUCUGGGUCACAAACCAAGAUGGCGGCGAGGGGCGCCAAAGGAGUACUCGAUUUUAAAAUACCGAGAUGUAAUCAGGAAUUGUUGAUUGGUGUUCAGCAAGAAUUCACCACGGCGUAUUAUUUAUGGUCCGUUAGAAAAUACAUAGCGUUACAUAGCGGUAGAACAGAGAGUAAUAAACCGGGUGGGCUUUGGAAUAGAAUCAACAAUGUCAAAGAUCGUAACUUCUGAAAGCAUCGAAUAGAACCUUAUCAAGGCUAUUCUCCACUCCAUAUUAUCGACACGUUGAUGACGCUACAAGUAUUCUGCCCUCCAUACCACCUACACGUUAACGAUGCUAUUCUGCACAUCGUAAUCAUCGGCACGACAACUAUUCUGCACAUCAUAUCCCUGAUUCACGGACUACCACACGUUGACGGCGCUGUUAUCCAUACCAUAUUGCCGACACAAUGACGACUCUAUUCUCCACACAAUAACACCGACACGCCGAUGACCCUAUGCACCACACAACACCGCCGACAUACAGCAGCAUUAUUUACACCAUAUGACGACCUUUUCCGUUACACCAUACCACUGACAAAUUGACAGCGCUAUUCUCCACAUCAUAUCACCGGCACAUUGACAUCACUACUCUCCGCACCAAAUCACGGACACAUUGACGUUUCUGUUCAUCUAACCAUAUCAUCGACAAUUUGACGUCACUUUUCUCCGCACCAUAUCAGUGACACACUAACGCCAUUCUUACCAGCAGUAUAGAAGAGCAUGCACAUGUAGGGUCCUUAGAACAUUUCACAAAUAUGCAGAUCUUUUAUUUUUCAAUUCAUAGGUCGAGGAAACAAACUUCGUGUAUAUUUCCAAUUUGAGACUUCAUGGACAACAGAUUGCAUGUCAAAGUAUCAAAGAUAAACAACAAAACGGAAGGGUAACUAAUCGAGGGAAACUUUCAGCACACUACACACAGAGCCAAACAUCGUAGAAAGAACCACAAAAAUUGAAUAAAGAUGUCAUUCUACACAUUGAAAUGUCGAAAUUUAAAAUGGCAUUUUUUUCCAGUGGGAAUAGUUUCCCCUGGCAUGUUUUGAUUUCGAGUCCAGAAAUGGAAAUGCUUGAUUAUGUUAAAAUCGUAAGUAAUAACACAAAAAUAGUUAAAUCAUACUGAUAUUUAUUUAAUAUUUAUGCUGUGACUAUUAUGCUUGUUAUAUGUAUCAUUUAGUGUCACUGACCGGUAAUACAAUGUACAAAACGAUUAUUUGAGGUUAUACCGUUGUCUCUUAGCUCCAGAUUAUGUUCAUGUUCGUAGUACAGUUUCGCUCUUACUUUAAACAAAAAGACGAUAUUUGUGCCAGAAAAUUUGCUGUUUCGAACUCCUUAUUCAUUGUUUGUCAGGUCAGGUUGAAACAUCCACAUAUUAACUUGGUAACAAUUGGCAUAUGUAAACGUGAAGAAAAAGAGUUAAUGGAGUUAAGUUUUAAUUUCUAUAGACUGACUUGUAUUUUCGUGUCCAACGGAAAUAUUUUAGUGCUAUUUCAUUUCUUUCUACAAGUAUUGUUUUUACUGUAUCAGAAAAUGUUUGCAGCAAAGUUGACAUGUUAUGCAAAUAAACAAUUAAUUGAUACUCAUUGAGGUUAAUCAAAGUUUAUGCCACACAUAUCAUUUAAGCAGCUAAUUAAGAGACAGUAUAAGGUAGUGAAAAAUGGUACAUGACUUUCGCCAAUGAUACCUUUUUAGCAAGAAAGUCUUAAGUCAAGGCGAAAUGGCACUGGUUUAGAAGUGAAAAGGAGCUAGAAACAGGAAAUUGUGAAAAGUUCAAUUAGAAAUUUUACUCUGACUUGUCUGAAGUUGGAAAUGCGAUGGGAUGUUCCCCUCGUCGCGCUGAAAGGCAGAAGAUGUAUACUCUUCUCAGUGAAAAGAAAAUAUCAUCUAAAGAGAUGAAGAGAAUACAUGCGAAAAUAGUCCAUAUUUCACUGAAAUGAGGACACUUUAACCGAUCUUCUAAAUUGGAAAGUACGUCCUGUAGUACAGGACGCGAUGAGAAAAAAGUAGUCAACAUCUUGAAAAAUAUUCCCUGUGCCACUUGACAGGAAAAGAUGCCAUGGGAAAAAAUCGUCAGAGCAAAAUUAGUUGCCAUGAGAAAAGCCACUACGUCCCGUUGGAAAGCGGAAGAUGCAACUGGAAAAUAUUCCCUUAUCACUAGAAGUAGACGCUUCCAUUCCCACUGAGUUCGAAAGAUGCAUUGGAAAAAUAGUCAUAAUCCCAAUUAUAGCAGAAAGUGCAAAUGGAUUAUAAGUUCGUUCUGCAGCAAAACAUGAUGGCGAAGAUCUAGUAGAAUAAAUGGGAAAAUACUCCACGUACCACCAAACGCAUAAAGUACUAUGGCGAAAAUUGUACUGUACCCGUUAGAAAGCAGAAGAUGCAAUGGAAAAAUGUUUCCCAGAAAAUUUAAGAAAUAUGGAGAUAUAUUUCCAUCGAAAGUGCAAUGGGUGGAAAUAUUCCUUCACUAAUGUGAGGUUCAGUGGGAAAUUAUUUGAGCAACUGGGAAACCGGAAAGCCAAAUACUAGUAUGAGACCAGAAAACGUUUCCCAUGCCUCCAAAGGCAUAAUAUAUAAUGUGAAAAUAUUUUCCACAAAAGCUGCAAUGGGAAAAUAUUCUGUCAUACGACAGAAAGUUAAAAAUGCAAUGGGAUAAUAUUCAUUUUCACGCUGGAAAAACAAAUGAUGAAAUGGGAAAUUAUCCCAUAGUAACAGCAAAAUAAGUAAAUUAUGAAGCCAGCAGCUGUUUAUAAAGGGAAACAAUGACAAUUUACCUGUGAAACAUGUAAUGUGUAAUUCACGUUCUUGUUACUACGAAAGUUACCGAUGGUGGUUAUGUCGCGUACCCAAAGUCUAACACAGAAAAGAAAUGAAAACCGAUAUUGAAUAUAGAAACCGUAUAUAAUGUUUUUUUUAAUGAUUUUCAGAAUGUUUAGCUGUAAUACCAUUAAAAAUAUAGGCGAAAUAACAAAAAAAUCACUCUUCAGCUGACCUAAACCAAAGGUUCAUAAAAUUUGGUUGGUUGACGUCCAGAAUUUGUUUGUAAACGCACUAGAGUUCACUUUUUUAAAGCAGAAAUGUUCGAUGAUAUGUUGUUUUAGAUUAAUUAAAAGCCUGAUGGGAUGUUAGGUCCUGAGGUAUAAGUGUGCCCUUGAUUGAUAAAAAAUGCUGCAUUUCACGCCCUCUUUAUUUCUUUACCAAUCAUAUUAUACAUACACAUAUCUGCAUUUCUGAGUGUGUGUGUGCGUGCGUGCCUGCCCGUGUGCGCGCGAAUGUAAGUGUGUUAUUCAGAUUUUUGACAUUGUCCGCAGUGGUAUUAAGGUAAGCGAUUUAGUGGCACUCUUGUUUAGUAAAAAAAAAUUCGCUUGUAGUACAAUCUGGAAUUAAAACCAUAUGAUUAAUGAUAUAUGAGCCGCGCCAUGGGAAAACCAACAUCCGCGCAGUCUGGUCAGGAUCUAUGCUGUUCGCUAAUGGUUUCUCUAAUUGCAAUAGGCUUUGAAAGCGAAUAUCAUGGAUCCUGACCAGACUGCGCGGAUGCGAAGGCUGGUCUGGAUCCAUGCUGGUCGCAAACCCACUAUGUUGGUUUUCUCAUGGCGUGGCUCAUAUGAUAACAUGAUUUCUAACAUUAAAUUAAAGUUUUGGUAAUAAUGCAAGUGUACGCAUGUUUUUAUCUUCAUUAUCAGCGUUUGUUUUGACGUUCCAAGAAACCUCUAAUGUAUUUCCAAUUAACCAACUGCCGGAUAAACUUCGGGUCAAUCUGGUACAUAGUAUGGUUUAAUCUGUAACCUUUAUUGGUAGAUAUUUAAUUAGUUCUGCAUGGUUAAAUGGAAUUUGGCAUUCUAGAGGGAGACUAUACGCUGUAGAAACCAUUAUGGCAUUUGAAUAUUAAUUAGUUCUUGUAGGAGGUCACAUGAUUGGUUAAGUUUAACAGACUUCUCUGCACGUGAGCUCGUUCAGGGCAUGAACAAAACAUACAGCAUUUAAGUAACGUCUUGAGUCCUAAAAGGUAUAUUUUCACUUAAUUAGUAGAUAUUUUGAUGGGAAAUGGCAAUUUACAGCUACAGACAGCUCCAGUCAGCAACAUUAGGCAUAUAUUAUGAACAUAUUGAGGUACCGACGAGUAAAUUUUAGACUUUAAAAGAUGGUGCAUACGGAUCUAUUUUAA